This 465-nucleotide ribosomal RNA is filed under the name Vreelandella stevensii. RNAcentral's name for it is "partial 16S ribosomal RNA". It matches the Rfam family "Bacterial small subunit ribosomal RNA", at positions 338 to 795 of the family's 1533-position model. The record is from RNAcentral. Lineage: Bacteria; Pseudomonadati; Pseudomonadota; Gammaproteobacteria; Oceanospirillales; Halomonadaceae.
CCUACGGGUGGCUGCAGUGGGGAAUAUUGGACAAUGGGCGAAAGCCUGAUCCAGCCAUGCCGCGUGUGUGAAGAAGGCCUUCGGGUUGUAAAGCACUUUCAGUGUGGAAGAAAGCCUUGGGGCUAAUACCCUCGAGGAAGGACAUCACCCACAGAAGAAGCACCGGCUAACUCCGUGCCAGCAGCCGCGGUAAUACGGAGGGUGCGAGCGUUAAUCGGAAUUACUGGGCGUAAAGCGCGCGUAGGCGGUCUGAUAAGCCGGUUGUGAAAGCCCCGGGCUCAACCUGGGAACGGCAUCCGGAACUGUCAGGCUAGAGUGCAGGAGAGGAAGGUAGAAUUCCCGGUGUAGCGGUGAAAUGCGUAGAGAUCGGGAGGAAUACCAGUGGCGAAGGCGGCCUUCUGGACUGACACUGACGCUGAGGUGCGAAAGCGUGGGUAGCAAACAGGAUUAGAUACCCCAGUAGUC